RNAcentral lists this ribosomal RNA (254 nucleotides) under uncultured bacterium. RNAcentral's name for it is "partial 16S ribosomal RNA". It matches the Rfam family "Bacterial small subunit ribosomal RNA", at positions 524 to 776 of the family's 1533-position model. The record is from RNAcentral.
UACGUAGGGGGCAAGCGUUGUCCGGAUUUAUUGGGCGUAAAGAGCUCGUAGGCGGUUCGGCAAGUCGGGUGUGAAAUUUCGAGGCUCAACCUCGAAACGCCACUCGAUACUGCUGUGACUGGAGUCCGGUAGAGGAGUGCGGAAUUCCUGGUGUAGCGGUGAAAUGCGCAGAUAUCAGGAGGAACACCGGUGGCGAAGGCGGGUCUCUGGGCAACAACUGACGCUGAGGAGCGAAAGCGUGGGGAGCGAACAGG